GACGAACGCUGACGGCGUGCUUAACACAUGCAAGUCGAACGGAAAGGCCCUGCUUUUGUGGGGUGCUCGAGUGGCGAACGGGUGAGUAACACGUGAGUAACCUGCCCUUGACUUUGGGAUAACUUCAGGAAACUGGGGCUAAUACCGGAUAGGAGCUCCUGCUGCAUGGUGGGGGUUGGAAAGUUUCGGCUGUUGGGGAUGGACUCGCGGCUUAUCAGCUUGUUGGUGGGGUAGUGGCUUACCAAGGCUGUGACGGGUAGCCGGCCUGAGAGGGUGACCGGCCACAUUGGGACUGAGAUACGGCCCAGACUCCUACGGGAGGCAGCAGUGGGGAAUAUUGCACAAUGGGCGGAAGCCUGAUGCAGCAACGCCGCGUGCGGGAUGACGGCCUUCGGGUUGUAAACCGCUUUCGCCUGUGACGAAGCGUGAGUGACGGUAAUGGGUAAAGAAGCACCGGCUAACUACGUG
RNAcentral lists this ribosomal RNA (468 nucleotides) under uncultured bacterium. RNAcentral describes it as "partial 16S ribosomal RNA". It matches the Rfam family "Bacterial small subunit ribosomal RNA", at positions 28 to 507 of the family's 1533-position model. The record is from RNAcentral.